GACGGUAACAGGCCGCAAGGUGCUGACGAGUGGCGAACGGGUGAGUAAUGCAUCGGAACGUGCCCAGUCGUGGGGGAUAACGCAGCGAAAGCUGCGCUAAUACCGCAUACGAUCUAUGGAUGAAAGCGGGGGACCGUAAGGCCUCGCGCGAUUGGAGCGACCGAUGACAGAUUAGGUAGUUGGUGGGGUAAAGGCUCACCAAGCCGACGAUCUGUAGCUGGUCUGAGAGGACGACCAGCCACACUGGAACUGAGACACGGUCCAGACUCCUACGGGAGGCAGCAGUGGGGAAUUUUGGACAAUGGGCGCAAGCCUGAUCCAGCAAUGCCGCGUGCAGGAAGAAGGCCUUCGGGUUGUAAACUGCUUUUGUACGGAACGAAACGGCGAGCUCUAAUACAGUUUGCUAAUGACGGUACCGUAAGAAUAAGCACCGGCUAACUACGUGCCAGCAGCCGCGGUAAUACGUAGGGUGCAAGCGUUAAUCGGAAUUACUGGGCGUAAAGCGUGCGCAGGCGGUUUUGUAAGACAGUCGUGAAAUCCCCGGGCUCAACCUGGGAAUUGCGAUUGUGACUGCAAAGCUGGAGUGCGGCAGAGGGGGAUGGAAUUCCGCGUGUAGCAGUGAAAUGCGUAGAUAUGCGGAGGAACACCGAUGGCGAAGGCAAUCCCCUGGGCCUGCACUGACGCUCAUGCACGAAAGCGU
RNAcentral lists this ribosomal RNA (700 nucleotides) under uncultured bacterium. RNAcentral describes it as "bacterial SSU rRNA". It matches the Rfam family "Bacterial small subunit ribosomal RNA", at positions 65 to 762 of the family's 1533-position model. The record is from RNAcentral.